UGCAGCAAUCUAGGCAGCGUUCUCGUUUGCUUUGUAGAAGAAAACACGACCCUGAUUGCUGUAGU
Molecule: microRNA precursor, 65 nt
Filed under: Anopheles gambiae (African malaria mosquito)
Lineage: Eukaryota; Metazoa; Arthropoda; Insecta; Diptera; Culicidae
Description: microRNA aga-mir-10368 precursor
Source: miRBase by way of RNAcentral